CGCCAGACUCCUACGGGAGGCAGCAGUGGGGGAUAUUGCACAAUGGGGGAAACCCUGAUGCAGCGACGCCGCGUGGGCGAAGAAGUAUUUCGGUAUGUAAAGCCCUAUCAGCAGGGAAGAAGAAAUGACGGUACCUGACCAAGAAGCUCCGGCUAAAUACGUGCCAGCAGCCGCGGUAAUACGUAUGGAGCAAGCGUUAUCCGGAUUUACUGGGUGUAAAGGGAGCGUAGACGGCGGUGCAAGCCAGAUGUGAAAGCCCGGGGCUCAACCCCGGGACUGCAUUUGGAACUGUGCUGCUGGAGUGUCGGAGAGGCAGGCGGAAUUCCUAGUGUAGCGGUGAAAUGCGUAGAUAUUAGGAGGAACACCAGUGGCGAAGGCGGCCUGCUGGACGAUGACUGACGUUGAGGCUCGAAAGCGUGGGGAGCAAACAGGAUUAGAUACCCGAGUAAA
RNAcentral lists this ribosomal RNA (450 nucleotides) under uncultured bacterium. RNAcentral describes it as "partial 16S ribosomal RNA". It matches the Rfam family "Bacterial small subunit ribosomal RNA", at positions 329 to 794 of the family's 1533-position model. The record is from RNAcentral.